UACGGAGGGUGCAAGCGUUAUCCGGAUUCACUGGGUUUAAAGGGUGCGUAGGAGGGCAGGGAAGUCAGUGGUGAAAUCUCCGGGCUUAACUGGGAGAGGCCGUUCAAAACUGUCAAGCUAGAGUCUGGAAGAGGAGAGCGGAAUUCCCGGUGUAGUGGUGGAAUGCGUAGAGAUCGGGAGGAACACCAGUGGCGAAAGCGGCUCUCUGGUCCAAAACUGACGCUGAGGGGCGAAAGCGUGGGGAGCGAACGGG
This 253-nucleotide ribosomal RNA is filed under the name uncultured bacterium. RNAcentral's name for it is "partial 16S ribosomal RNA". It matches the Rfam family "Bacterial small subunit ribosomal RNA", at positions 524 to 776 of the family's 1533-position model. The record is from RNAcentral.